AGCAGCCGCGGUAAUUCCAGCUCCAAUAGCGUAUAUUAAAGUUGUUGCAGUUAAAAAGCUCGUAGUUGAAUUUCGGGAUUGGCGCAUCGGUCGUGCCUCACGGGGUAUGAACUGGUGCAGUCAAUUUCUCACCUUCUGGAGAACCGCGAUGUCCUUAAUUGGAUGCCGCGGGGAACCAGGACCUUUACUUUGAAAAAUUAGAGUGUUUAAAGCAGGCAUUUUUGCUUGAAUACAUUAGCAUGGAAUAAUAAAAUAGGACGGCAUGGUUCUAUUUUGUUGGUUUCUAGGUACCACCGUAAUGAUUAAUAGGGAUAGUUGGGGGCAUUAGUAUUCAAUUGUCAGAGGUGAAAUUCUUGGAUUUAUUGAAGACUAACUACUGCGAAAGCAUUUGCCAAGGAUGUUUUCAUUAAUCAAGAACGAAAGUUAGGGGAUCGAAGACGAUCAGAUACCGU
RNAcentral lists this ribosomal RNA (452 nucleotides) under uncultured Glomus. Its description in RNAcentral is "SSU rRNA". It matches the Rfam family "Eukaryotic small subunit ribosomal RNA", at positions 569 to 1018 of the family's 1831-position model. Lineage: Eukaryota; Fungi; Glomeromycota; Glomeromycetes; Glomerales; Glomeraceae. The record is from RNAcentral.